RNAcentral lists this ribosomal RNA (633 nucleotides) under uncultured Desulfobacterium sp. Its description in RNAcentral is "bacterial SSU rRNA". It matches the Rfam family "Bacterial small subunit ribosomal RNA", at positions 9 to 617 of the family's 1533-position model. Lineage: Bacteria; Pseudomonadati; Thermodesulfobacteriota; Desulfobacteria; Desulfobacterales; Desulfobacteriaceae. The record is from RNAcentral.
GAGUUUGAUCAUGGCUCAGAAUGAACGCUGGGGCGUGCUUAACACAUGCAAGUCGUACGAGAAAUCCUUGGCUUGCCAGGGAGAGUAAAGUGGCGCACGGGUGAGUAACGCGUGGGUAAUCUACCCUUGGAUUCAGGAUAACACUUCGAAAGGGGUGCUAAUACUGGAUAACAUCCUGAUGGUUUUGGCCAUAAGGAUCAAAGAUAGCCUCUACAUGUAAGCUAUUGUACAGGGAUGAGCCCGCGUACCAUUAGCUAGUUGGUGGGGUAAGAGCCUACCAAGGCAACGAUGGUUAGCUGGUCUGAGAGGAUGAUCAGCCACACUGGGACUGAAACACGGUCCAGACUCCUACGGGAGGCAGCAGUGAGGAAUUUUGCGCAAUGGGGGAAACCCUGACGCAGCAACGCCGCGUGAGUGAAGAAGGCUUUCGGGUCGUAAAGCUCUGUCAAGAGGGAAGAAAGUGGAAAGUGGUAAUACUAUUUUCCAUUGACGGUACCUCUGAAGGAAGCACCGGCUAACUCCGUGCCAGCAGCCGCGGUAAUACGGGGGGUGCAAGCGUUAUUCGGAUUUAUUGGGCGUAAAGAGCGCGUAGCGGUUUAUCAAGUCAGAUGUGAAAGCCCUGGCUCAACCUGG